This 72-nucleotide transfer RNA is filed under the name Stephanoberyx monae. RNAcentral describes it as "tRNA-Trp". It matches the Rfam family "tRNA". From Rfam's summary of the family: Transfer RNA (tRNA) molecules are approximately 80 nucleotides in length. Their secondary structure includes four short double-helical elements and three loops (D, anti-codon, and T loops). Further hydrogen bonds mediate the characteristic L-shaped molecular structure. tRNAs have two regions of fundamental functional importance: the anti-codon, which is responsible for specific mRNA codon recognition, and the 3' end, to which the tRNAs corresponding amino acid is attached (by aminoacyl-tRNA synthetases). tRNAs cope with the degeneracy of the genetic code in two manners: having more than one tRNA (with a specific anti-codon) for a particular amino acid; and 'wobble' base-pairing, i.e. permitting non-standard base-pairing at the 3rd anti-codon position. The record is from RNAcentral. Lineage: Eukaryota; Metazoa; Chordata; Actinopteri; Beryciformes; Stephanoberycidae.
AGGGGCUUAGGAUAGUACCUAAACCAAGAGCCUUCAAAGCCCUAAUCGGGAGUGAGAAUCUCCCAGCCCCUG